UAAAAGAAACUUUUUCUACGGAUGUUCGUUGAAUUUCAUAAAACCAUUACUGAACUGAUUCCAUUUUGGUUCAAUAAAGCAUGUAAAACUGAAUUCAAGAAAAAAACUUAACAUGUACAAACUAAUCCAUUUCAAUCACAGCAAAGUAAUUAAUAGUGAAACGGUCAUUCACUUAAGCUAAACUCACUAGAAAACAAGCAUUAUGAGAUAGAGCAUUCGCCACACCAAAUCAUGUUCUAGAUUUAAUAAUAAAAUCAAACAUUAAACAAACCAAAUCAUAUUUUUAUUGCAUGAUCAAACAGAAGAAAUUAAGUUUGAACCAACUGACCGGAUCAGGACCAACGGCGACAACCUCAAAACGUCAAUAACUGGCUCCGAGCAGAUCUCACAAUGAGUUCCAAAAUGGACUCAAACUAACAAAACUUCAGCAGCAGAAAAUGAGGCUCACGACCACCCAGAGAUUAAACUGCAGAAAAGGAGGAAACGAGGGAUCGAGAGAAGGAACGCCGAUUUCGAUCGGAACCUAAGAGGCCGUGAAGUAUGAAAGUUGUGAGAUUGCAAGGCUUUUCCGUCGAAGAACAGAUCUGAAGGUUUCAAAAGAGGCACCAGAUCUAAAAGUUUCACCACUGUUAAUCCCCACUUCAGGCGAGACUUACCAUUCCCGACAUGAUUCUGUUAUCUUAUGUACAAAUCUGUGAAAAUAAGAAAAGGAAGAAAGUGAGAGGAAGCGAGGUCAUGGGUGGACGACCAGAGGGAAAGCGUGAGGAGUUCCACCGACGUUCAUGGCAGGUAAAGAAGAAACGACGAUGUGGGAGGGUUGCCGAUCCUGUUGCUGGGGUCUAGCGGUUGUGUUCUUGUGUGGGAGGGUUGGUCGUUAGUGAGCUCUGUUGCUAAUGGCUGCUUAGGGUGUCAAUUUUAGUCUUCAGGUUUUGGUCGCCAUGGGUUUGUCGAAGAAGAUGAAAUUCAAGGGGGGUGAGGGGUCGUGUGUAACUACUAGGGCGUGUACAAAGAAAAUCGAUAAAUCGCACCAAUUCGAUCCGAGUCAAACCGAGAAAAAAAAUUCGACUAUGGUUUGGUUUGACUUGGUUUGGUGUUGGAAAAAAAACCCGAACCAUAAUUGGUUUGGUUUGAUUUUAACUAAAGAAAAUCAAACUGAAACCAAACCAACCUGACAUUAC
This 1178-nucleotide long non-coding RNA is filed under the name Nicotiana benthamiana. RNAcentral describes it as "long non-coding RNA (NBEN_LNC026897)". The record is from RNAcentral. Lineage: Eukaryota; Viridiplantae; Streptophyta; Magnoliopsida; Solanales; Solanaceae.